CCUACGGGGCGCAGCAGUGGGGAAUAUUGGGCAAUGGGCGCAAGCCUGACCCAGCAACGCCGCGUGAAGGAAGAAGGCUUUCGGGUUGUAAACUUCUUUUCUGAGGGACGAAGAAAGUGACGGUACCUCAGGAAUAAGCCACGGCUAACUACGUGCCAGCAGCCGCGGUAAUACGUAGGUGGCAAGCGUUCUACGGAUUUAUGGGGUGUAAAGGGCGUGUAGGAGGGAAAGCAAGUCAGAUGUGAAAACUCAGGGCUCAACCCUGAGCCUGCAGUUGAAACUGUUUUUCUUGAGUGCUGGAGAGGCAAGCGGAAUUCCGUGUGUAGCGGUGAAAUGCGUAGAUAUACGGAGGAACACCAGUGGCGAAGGCGGAUUGCUGGACAGUAACUGACGCUGAGGCGCGAAAGCGUGGGGAGCAAACAGGAUUAGAUACCCCAGUAGUC
RNAcentral lists this ribosomal RNA (443 nucleotides) under uncultured bacterium. Its description in RNAcentral is "partial 16S ribosomal RNA". It matches the Rfam family "Bacterial small subunit ribosomal RNA", at positions 338 to 795 of the family's 1533-position model. The record is from RNAcentral.